RNAcentral lists this ribosomal RNA (374 nucleotides) under uncultured organism. RNAcentral describes it as "bacterial SSU rRNA". It matches the Rfam family "Bacterial small subunit ribosomal RNA", at positions 526 to 896 of the family's 1533-position model. The record is from RNAcentral.
CGGGGGGAGCAAGCGUUGUUCGGAUUUAUUGGGCGUAAAGGGCGCGUAGGCGGCCACCGCAAGUCGACUGUGAAAUCUCCGGGCUUAACCCGGAACGGUCAGCCGAUACUGCGGGGCUAGAGUGCAGAAGGGGCAACUGGAAUUCUCGGUGUAGCGGCGAAAUGCGUAGAUAUCGAGAGGAACACCUGCGGCGAAGGCGGGUUGCUGGGCUGACACUGACGCUGAUGCGCGAAAGCUAGGGGAGCGAACGGGAUUAGAUACCCCGGUAGUCCUAGCCUUAAACGAUGAAUGCUUGGUGUCUGGGGUUUUAUAGUCCCCGGGUGCCGUCGCUAACGCUUUAAGCAUUCCGCCUGGGGAGUACGGUCGCAAGACUG